CACACCGCCCGUCGCUACUACCGAUUGAAUGGCUCAGUGAGGCGUUCGGACUGGCUCGGGGAGGUUGGCAACGACCACCCCAAGCCGGAAAGUUCGUCAAACUCGGUCAUUUAGAGGAAGUAAAAGUCGUAACAAGGUCUCCGUAGGUGAACCUGCGGAGGGAUCAUUA
RNAcentral lists this ribosomal RNA (169 nucleotides) under Bipolaris bamagaensis. RNAcentral describes it as "partial 18S ribosomal RNA". It matches the Rfam family "Eukaryotic small subunit ribosomal RNA", at positions 1665 to 1831 of the family's 1831-position model. Lineage: Eukaryota; Fungi; Ascomycota; Dothideomycetes; Pleosporales; Pleosporaceae. The record is from RNAcentral.